ACGGGAGGCAGCAGUGGGGAAUAUUGGACAAUGGGGGAAACCCUGAUCCAGCGACGCCGCGUGAGUGAAGAAGUAUUUCGGUAUGUAAAGCUCUAUCAGCAAGGAAGAAAAUGACGGUACUUGACUAAGAAGCUCCGGCUAAAUACGUGCCAGCAGCCGCGGUAAUACGUAUGGAGCAAGCGUUAUCCGGAUUUACUGGGUGUAAAGGGAGCGUAGACGGCAAAGCAAGUCUGAAGUGAAAUCCCGGGGCUCAACCCCGGAACUGCUUUGGAAACUGUUUAGCUAGAGUGCAGGAGAGGUAAGCGGAAUUCCUAGUGUAGCGGUGAAAUGCAUAGAUAUGACGAAGAACACCGAUUGCGUAGGCAGCAGACCAGGCCGUAAAUGACGCUCAUGCACGAAAGUGCGGGGAUCGAACAGGAUUAGAUACCCUGGUA
RNAcentral lists this ribosomal RNA (434 nucleotides) under uncultured Clostridium sp. Its description in RNAcentral is "partial 16S ribosomal RNA". It matches the Rfam family "Bacterial small subunit ribosomal RNA", at positions 341 to 792 of the family's 1533-position model. The record is from RNAcentral. Lineage: Bacteria; Bacillati; Bacillota; Clostridia; Eubacteriales; Clostridiaceae.